Molecule: ribosomal RNA, 495 nt
Filed under: uncultured bacterium
Lineage: Bacteria
Description: partial 16S ribosomal RNA
Rfam family: Bacterial small subunit ribosomal RNA
Source: RNAcentral
GAUGAACGCUGGCGGCGUGCCUAAUACAUGCAAGUAGAACGCUGAAGGAGGAGCUUGCUCUUCUGGAUGAGUUGCGAACGGGUGAGUAACGCGUAGGUAACCUGCCUGGUAGCGGGGGAUAACUAUUGGAAACGAUAGCUAAUACCGCAUGACAACAGUUAUUGCAUGAUAACUGUUUAAAAGGGGCAACUGCUCCACUACCAGAUGGACCUGCGUUGUAUUAGCUAGUUGGUGAGGUAACGGCUCACCAAGGCGACGAUACAUAGCCGACCUGAGAGGGGGAUCGGCCACACUGGGACUGAGACACGGCCCAGACUCCUACGGGAGGCAGCAGGAGGGAAUCUUCGGCAAUGGACGGAAGUCUGACCGAGCAACGCCGCGUGAGUGAAGAAGGUUUUCGGAUCGUAAAGCUCUGUUGUAAGAGAAGAACGAGUGUGAGAGUGGAAAGUUCACACUGUGACGGUAUCUUACCAGAAAGGGACGGCUAACUACGUG